Molecule: long non-coding RNA, 269 nt
Filed under: Elaeis guineensis (African oil palm)
Lineage: Eukaryota; Viridiplantae; Streptophyta; Magnoliopsida; Arecales; Arecaceae
Description: long non-coding RNA (EGUI_LNC031004)
Source: RNAcentral
AGUCCAACUUGCAGGAGUUGGUUGAUGAGGAAAUACCAAUGAUUAUGCACGUGGGUUGCCAAGCGAUAGUUGGCAGGCCUUCAUCUGGUCGAGGCACCAAGUGUUGAUGUGUUUGGAUAUUCUUGAAUCUUGGGCUUUUUCAUAUGGUCGGCCCAUGUGAGAUUUCCCCCAACACUAUUCAUUCCAAGUCCUCUGAUGAAUUCAGCCAUCAGAUGUCUUCAUGGGGCAUCCAAGCAUAGAAUCGUGGUAUAUGCUUUUCCUAUAUAUAG